UUAGAAAAGUAGGAAUCGAACCUACACAUAGAGAUCAAAGCCCUUCAUACUUCCUUUAUAUUAUUUCCU
RNAcentral lists this transfer RNA (69 nucleotides) under Ispidina picta (African pygmy-kingfisher). RNAcentral's name for it is "tRNA-Gln". The record is from RNAcentral. Lineage: Eukaryota; Metazoa; Chordata; Aves; Coraciiformes; Alcedinidae.